CCUACGGGGGGCAGCAGUGGGGAAUAUUGCGCAAUGGGCGCAAGCCUGAUCCAGCAACGCCGCGUGAAUGAAGAAGGCUUUCGGGUUGUAAACUUCUUUUGUCAGGGACGAAGCUAGUGACGGUACCUGACGAAUCAGCCACUGCUAACUACGUGCCAGCCGCCGCGGUACUACGUAGGGGGCAAGCGUUAUCCGGAUUUACUGGGUGUAAAGGGAGUGUAGGCGGGGAGGCAAGUCAGAUGUGAAAGCCGCGGGCUCAACCUGUGGCCUGCAUUUGAAACUGUUUUUCUGGAGUGCAGGAGAGGUAAUUGGAAUUCCGAGUGUAGCGGUGAAAUGCGUAGAUAUUCGGAGGAACACCAGUGGCGAAGGCGGAUUGCUGGACAGUAACUGACGCUGAGGCGCGAAAGCGUGGGGAGCAAACAGGAUUAGAUACCCGGGUAGUC
Molecule: ribosomal RNA, 443 nt
Filed under: uncultured bacterium
Lineage: Bacteria
Description: partial 16S ribosomal RNA
Rfam family: Bacterial small subunit ribosomal RNA
Source: RNAcentral